GGGGAUGUAGCUUAGUAGUAGAGGUCUUGCCUAGUAAGCAUGAGACCCUAGGUUCAAUCCCAGCACUACCA
This 71-nucleotide transfer RNA is filed under the name Ictidomys tridecemlineatus (thirteen-lined ground squirrel). RNAcentral describes it as "Spermophilus tridecemlineatus (thirteen-lined ground squirrel) tRNA". It matches the Rfam family "tRNA". Rfam says of the family: Transfer RNA (tRNA) molecules are approximately 80 nucleotides in length. Their secondary structure includes four short double-helical elements and three loops (D, anti-codon, and T loops). Further hydrogen bonds mediate the characteristic L-shaped molecular structure. tRNAs have two regions of fundamental functional importance: the anti-codon, which is responsible for specific mRNA codon recognition, and the 3' end, to which the tRNAs corresponding amino acid is attached (by aminoacyl-tRNA synthetases). tRNAs cope with the degeneracy of the genetic code in two manners: having more than one tRNA (with a specific anti-codon) for a particular amino acid; and 'wobble' base-pairing, i.e. permitting non-standard base-pairing at the 3rd anti-codon position. The record is from Rfam by way of RNAcentral. Lineage: Eukaryota; Metazoa; Chordata; Mammalia; Rodentia; Sciuridae.